RNAcentral lists this ribosomal RNA (463 nucleotides) under uncultured bacterium. Its description in RNAcentral is "partial 16S ribosomal RNA". It matches the Rfam family "Bacterial small subunit ribosomal RNA", at positions 355 to 834 of the family's 1533-position model. The record is from RNAcentral.
UGGGGAAUAUUGCACAAUGGGCGAAAGCCUGAUGCAGCAACGCCGCGUGAGUGAUGAAGGUCUUCGGAUUGUAAAGCUCUGUCUUUUGGGACGAUAAUGACGGUACCAAAGGAGGAAGCCACGGCUAACUACGUGCCAGCAGCCGCGGUAAUACGUAGGUGGCGAGCGUUGUCCGGAUUUACUGGGCGUAAAGGGUGCGUAGGCGGAUGUUUAAGUGAGAUGCGAAAUACCCGGGCUUAACUUGGGUGCUGCAUUUCAAACUGGAUAUCUAGAGUGCAGGAGAGGAGAAUGGAAUUCCUAGUGUAGCGGUGAAAUGCGUAGAGAUUAGGAAGAACACCAGUGGCGAAGGCGAUUCUCUGGACUGUAACUGACGCUGAGGCACGAAAGCGUGGGUAGCAAACAGGAUUAGAUACCCUGGUAGUCCACGCCGUAAAACGAUGAGUACUAGGUGUAGGAGGUAUCG